UCCCAAAAAAAAACUUCCACAAUUCUCUUCUAACAUCCUCAAUUGCAAUUGCCGUAGUCAUUACAAAAAAUAACAUCCAAAAUGUAAAGAGAGCACAAACAAUUAAUCUUUAUAUUCACAUAUAUCAAUCAGCAAACCUAGAAAGACGUUAAGGGACACAAUUUACACAAUUGGUUUAUCAAACAUCACUCAAGAAACUCUAUUUUACUUAAGCUCUCACAAAGUAAAACAAAGUCUAAAUCAAACCAACAGAUAACAAUUGAGAUCAUUAAACUUCUAACCGAAUACUAUAAUACUAUAUGAAAUACAUCUUUAUAAUACUAUACAAUAUACAAUAAAUACAAACCGUACACAAUACAAUACAAACCGUGAUGAAUCAAACAUCAUUCAAGAAACUCUAUUUUAAUGAUGCUCUCACAAAGUAAAACAAAGUCUAAAUCAAACCAACAGAUAACAAUUAAGAUCAUUAAACUUCUAACCGAUCAUCUUUAUAUAUACGAAAUACAUGUUUAUAAUAUUAUACGAAAUAUAAUACAAUACAAUACAAACCGUGAUGAAUUAAAAAAUUUGUUAACAAUACAAUACAAGAUAUUCACAAACCGUGAUGAAUUAAAAAAAACACUUACGAGAGACAUGGAGAUUAAGGGGAUCUCGAGCCAGACAUGCUUCUUCUUCAUUUCUCCGAUUAGGUUUGUAUUCAAUCAGAGAGGUUUAUGUGAAUGUCAGGCAUGCUUCUUCUUUGUCUCUCCGAUUACGGUUGUAUCCGAUCAGGUAAAAGAUAGAGAUUCUAACUCCUGGGUAAUUACUUUGAUUGUGAUCGCGGAUUCUCUCAUCUCACUGUUUUUCUUCUUUUGCUUCCCCGAUUAGGUCAAGAUUCGGCCUCCAGAAUCACGGCUUGGCUGAGUAACACUUGAAGACACUUGAAAUUUAGGGUAUCACGGCUACUCAGCCUCCACCAUAUCUUCCCCUGCCUCCACGCCUUUGAACCCUAUCUCCACACCACAUCUGUGUGAUGUUGGGCUUUUGUUAUUCCUCAAAGCCCAAUUUAAUUAUGUGUCCCUCUUCUUCCUCUCCAAGUCUCUGUUGCCAACGGAUGUAGGAUAUGUUAAUCUUCGCUCACAACAAUUUCUUCAAAACUUCUGAUUUAAACCUCAGCUUCUUCAAUGGCCAUCUCACGUAUCCUUCUAAGUGAUUUGAAAGCCGGCCGCUGCUCUAACAAAGUGGAGAUGCGUUUGCUCGAUCCUGGGAAGCCCGUAAUGUGAAGAAAGGGGGAGAACUAAUGUGGAUUGAUUUACUCUUUGUCGACGAGAAGGUUAUGCCUGUUAAUCCUUUGCUCUAUAUAUCAUUUAUGUUUAUUUAAAAACGUUUGGAACAACUUCUGAUGAACUUCCUCUUCCAAUUUAGUCUAACAAAUAAAAUUAGCCAUGGUCACAACACCCGGAGGUCUCAAAAUCCUAGACGCAUCGUCUGAAAAAAGUCCCACAGAGAGUGUCACUAACAUUGUGAACAGAGAGAUAUUCGCAGCACUUGCAACAAGUAGCAAUGACGAUGUACAACAGGGAAACCGUGGUGAUCCCAAACGACCAAUUAAACAGCUACCCAGUGAAUGCAAAUGCUUCCUCAGAGUCCUAACCUCCGUUAUCAGCAGCAAACAACAACAAUUCUCCACCUUAUGCUGCCUCGUAGAUUACAGUAGAAUCAAAUCGGCGACAACAAUAAUAUCGAAAAACGAAAUCAAAAAACGAUUUCAAACAAAUACUCUUUAUAAAUAUAUAUUGAAUAAUUAAAAAGCCAUUAUCUACUACUUAUAUAAUUAAAUUGGUGUGAACAUAUAAAUAAAUUUAAUAAAUUGAAAAAAUAUUUUUUCUA
This is a long non-coding RNA of Brassica napus (rape), 1869 nucleotides long. RefSeq lists it as uncharacterized. The transcript is spliced from 3 exons. NCBI's taxonomy places the organism in Eukaryota, Viridiplantae, Streptophyta, Magnoliopsida, Brassicales, Brassicaceae. The record is from RefSeq and is a predicted model, not a curated record.